AUUGAACGCUGGCGGCAGGCCUAACACAUGCAAGUCGAGCGGGGUUUUCGGACCUAGCGGCGGACGGGUGAGUAAUGCGUAGGAAGCUACCCGACAGAGGGGGAUACCAGUUGGAAACGACUGUUAAUACCGCAUAAUGUCUACGGACCAAAGUGUGGGACCUUCGGGCCACAUGCUGUCGGAGGCGCCUACGUGGGAUUAGCUAGUUGGUGAGGUAAUGGCUCACCAAGGCGACGAUCCCUAGCUGGUUUGAGAGGAUGAUCAGCCACACUGGAACUGAGACACGGUCCAGACUCCUACGGGAGGCAGCAGUGGGGAAUAUUGGACAAUGGGCGCAAGCCUGAUCCAGCCAUGCCGCGUGUGUGAAGAAGGCCU
This 375-nucleotide ribosomal RNA is filed under the name uncultured bacterium. RNAcentral describes it as "bacterial SSU rRNA". It matches the Rfam family "Bacterial small subunit ribosomal RNA", at positions 30 to 417 of the family's 1533-position model. The record is from RNAcentral.